GACGAACGCUGGCGGCGUGCCUAAUACAUGCAAGUAGAACGCUGAAGGAGGAGCUUGCUUCUCUGGAUGAGUUGCGAACGGGUGAGUAACGCGUAGGUAACCUGCCGGUAGCUGGGGAUAACUAUUGGAAACGAUAGCUAAUACCGCAUAAUAGUAGAUGUUGCAUGACAUUUGCUUAAAAGGUGCAAUUGCAUCCCUACCAGAUGGACUUGCGUUGUAUUAGCUAGUUGGUGGGGUAACGGCUCACCAAGGCGACGAUACAUAGCCGACCUGAGAGGGUGGUCGGCCCAAAUGGGACUGAGACACGGCCCAGACCCCUACGGGAGGCAGCAGGAGGGGAUCUUCGGGAAAGGGAGGAAGGCUGAACGAGCAACGCCGCGGGGGGGAAGGAGGUUUUCGGAUCGGAAAGGUCUGUUGUAAGAGAAGAACGAGUGUGAGAGUGGAAAGUUCACACUGUGACGGUAACUUACCAGAAAGGGACGGCUAACUACGUG
Molecule: ribosomal RNA, 494 nt
Filed under: uncultured bacterium
Lineage: Bacteria
Description: partial 16S ribosomal RNA
Rfam family: Bacterial small subunit ribosomal RNA
Source: RNAcentral